GACGAACGCUGGCGGCGUGCUUAACACAUGCAAGUCGAACGGAAAGGCCCUGCUUUUGUGGGGUGCUCGAGUGGCGAACGGGUGAGUAACACGUGAGUAACCUGCCCUUGACUUUGGGAUAACUUCAGGAAACUGGGGCUAAUACCGGAUAGGAGCUCCUGCUGCAUGGUGGGGGUUGGAAAGUUUCGGCGGUUGGGGAUGGACUCGCGGCUUAUCAGCUUGUUGGUGGGGUAGUGGCUUACCAAGGCUUUGACGGGUAGCCGGCCUGAGAGGGUGACCGGCCACAUUGGGACUGGGAUACGGCCCAGACUCCUACGGGAGGCAGCAGUGGGGAAUAUUGCACAAUGGGCGGAAGCCUGAUGCAGCAACGCCGCGUGCGGGAUGACGGCCUUCGGGUUGUAACCCGCUUUCGCCUGUGACGAAGCGUGAGUGACGGUAAUGGGUAAAGAAGCACCGGCUAACUACGU
Molecule: ribosomal RNA, 467 nt
Filed under: uncultured bacterium
Lineage: Bacteria
Description: partial 16S ribosomal RNA
Rfam family: Bacterial small subunit ribosomal RNA
Source: RNAcentral